GGCCAGACUCCUACGGGAGGCAGCAGUGGGGGAUAUUGCACAAUGGGGGGAACCCUGAUGCAGCGACGCCGCGUGGGUGAAGAAGCGCCUCGGCGCGUAAAGCCCUGUCAGCAGGGAAGAAAAUGACGGUACCUGAAGAAGAAGCCCCGGCUAACUACGUGCCAGCAGCCGCGGUAAUACGUAGGGGGCAAGCGUUAUCCGGAUUUACUGGGUGUAAGGGGGCGCAGACGGCGAUGCAAGCCAGGAGUGAAAGCCCGGGGCCCAACCCCGGGACUGCUCUUGGAACUGCGUGGCUGGAGUGCAGGAGGGGCAGGCGGAAUUCCUGGUGUAGCGGUGAAAUGCGUAGAUAUCAGGAGGAACACCGGUGGCGAAGGCGGCCUGCUGGGCUGCAACUGACGUUGAGGCCCGAAAGCGUGGGGAGCAAACAGGAUUAGAUACCCCCGUAA
RNAcentral lists this ribosomal RNA (446 nucleotides) under uncultured bacterium. RNAcentral's name for it is "bacterial SSU rRNA". It matches the Rfam family "Bacterial small subunit ribosomal RNA", at positions 329 to 793 of the family's 1533-position model. The record is from RNAcentral.